GAAUAACUCUAAUUCUUGGUACUUCAAUCUAGCCCGAUCCUAGUAAACCACAGAUUGUAGUCUCACCAACCCGUUCAACAUUUAUCUUCAAUGCUUGCAUACACAGUAAAAUAGAUAUAGCACUUAUUUCAAAGAGUGCCACAGUUGGAAAGCAAGAAGGUCCAUAACAGUGCCUAUACCAACAGAAACGGAGAUCUUGCUACUGUACGGAAUCAUACAAAUCCAAUCCAGGAAGUGGAAUUGUUCUUCAGAAGCUAACCCGGCUAAAUUGGAGCAGCAAGCGAAAUGGAUUCUGGAGUACCAGGUGUGAAGGAAAAAACAACUUAGUUGUUAUAUCUACACACAAAAUGAAAUGAUUGAUCUUUUCCCGCGAGGAAGGAAUCUAAUUUAAGAGCAAAUGCGGCAAAAAGGAGAAAUCCCUACUUGUUCAAAAUACAC
This is a long non-coding RNA of Coffea eugenioides, 438 nucleotides long. RefSeq lists it as uncharacterized. The record is from RefSeq and is a predicted model, not a curated record. Lineage: Eukaryota; Viridiplantae; Streptophyta; Magnoliopsida; Gentianales; Rubiaceae. The transcript is spliced from 2 exons.